GAUGAACGCUGGCGGCGUGCCUAAUACAUGCAAGUCGAGCGAACAGACGAGGAACUUGCUCCUCUGACGUUAGCGGCGGACGGGUGAGUAACACGUGGAUAACCUACCUAUAAGACUGGGAUAACUUCGGGAAACCGGAGCUAAUACCGGAUAAUAUAUUGAACCGCAUGGUUCAAUAGUGAAAGACGGUUUUGCUGUCACUUAUAGAUGGAUCCGCGCCGCAUUAGCUAGUUGGUAAGGUAACGGCUUACCAAGGCAACGAUGCGUAGCCGACCUGAGGGGGUGAUCGGCCACACUGGAACUGAGACACGGUCCAGACUCCUACGGGAGGCAGCAGUAGGGAAUCUUCCGCAAUGGGCGAAAGCUUGACGGAGCAACGCCGCGUGAGUGAUGAAGGUCUUCGGAUCGUAAAACUCUGUUAUUAGGGAAGAACAAAUGUGUAAGUAACUAUGCACGUCUUGACGGUACCUAAUCAGAAAGCCACGGCUAACUACGUG
RNAcentral lists this ribosomal RNA (497 nucleotides) under uncultured bacterium. Its description in RNAcentral is "partial 16S ribosomal RNA". It matches the Rfam family "Bacterial small subunit ribosomal RNA", at positions 28 to 507 of the family's 1533-position model. The record is from RNAcentral.